GGGGGCGUAAUGGUUUCGACGGGGGUAUUGAAACAAAGCAAGCGAGCAGCGGUGCGGGACCGCUCUAAACCUCCGCAAACGCAUGAUAAAUGCAAAAGAUAAUGUUAUUCGUGUCAACUUCGGUAAAUCUGAAGAGGCACUUGCCGCUUAACUAAGCGACACGUUCUGCCCGGGAGGACCACGACCUGGGAUUUGAACGUCAUUUAGUGGUGAACGUAUCUGUGAGUUGCCCUUGUAACAGGUAGGUUUUAAAGGGUUGCCAAUGCUUUCAGCCUGAUGAUUGGCGGUUUGCUGCGGGACUUUUAAAGAAUCAUCUGCGCUCGGAGAAAACUUCGCGAAUAUACCUUCGGACACGGGUUCAACUCCCGUCGCCUCCACCA
This 380-nucleotide transfer-messenger RNA is filed under the name Eubacteriales. RNAcentral's name for it is "Ethanoligenens sp003518885 Standard tmRNA". It matches the Rfam family "transfer-messenger RNA". Rfam says of the family: Bacterial tmRNA, also known as 10Sa RNA or SsrA, is named for its dual tRNA and mRNA-like properties. Its role is to liberate the mRNA from a stalled ribosome. Lineage: Bacteria; Bacillati; Bacillota; Clostridia. The record is from RNAcentral. RNAcentral also lists the same sequence under 1 other name.